CAGGCUUAACACAUGCAAGUCGAGGGGUAUAGUUCUUCGGAACUAGAGACCGGCGCACGGGUGCGUAACGCGUAUGCAAUCUACCUUUUACAGAGGGAUAGCCCAGAGAAAUUUGGAUUAAUACCUCAUAGUAUAGCAGUUUCGCAUGAAACCACUAUUAAAGUCACAACGGUAAAAGAUGAGCAUGCGUCCCAUUAGCUAGUUGGUAAGGUAACGGCUUACCAAGGCUACGAUGGGUAGGGGUCCUGAGAGGGAGAUCCCCCACACUGGUACUGAGACACGGACCAGACUCCUACGGGAGGCAGCAGUGAGGAAUAUUGGACAAUGGGCGCAAGCCUGAUCCAGCCAUGCCGCGUGCAGGAUGACGGUCCUAUGGAUUGUAAACUGCUUUUAUACAGGAAGAAACCCUGGUUCGUGAACCAGCUUGACGGUACUGUAAGAAUAAGGAUCGGCUAACUCCGUGCCAGCAGCCGCGGUAAUACGGAGGAUCCAAGCGUUAUCCGGAAUCAUUGGGUUUAAAGGGUCCGUAGGCGGUUUAAUAAGUCAGUGGUGAAAGCCCAUCGCUCAACGGUGGAACGGCCAUUGAUACUGUUAAACUUGAAUUAUUAGGAAGUAACUAGAAUAUGUAGUGUAGCGGUGAAAUGCUUAGAGAUUACAUGGAAUACCAAUUGCGAAGGCAGGUUACUACUAAUGGAUUGACGCUGAUGGACGAAAGCGUGGGUAGCGAACAGGAUUAGAUACCCUGGUAGUCCACGCCGUAAACGAUGGAUACUAGCUGUU
RNAcentral lists this ribosomal RNA (780 nucleotides) under Flavobacterium sp. RNAcentral describes it as "bacterial SSU rRNA". It matches the Rfam family "Bacterial small subunit ribosomal RNA", at positions 43 to 824 of the family's 1533-position model. The record is from RNAcentral. Lineage: Bacteria; Pseudomonadati; Bacteroidota; Flavobacteriia; Flavobacteriales; Flavobacteriaceae.